GUACUGAUAAAGUAAAAAAUCUAAGAAAAAAGAAAGCGUAUGCUGAGGACACAGAAUAUAGGCAAGUUAAAAAGCUACAAACUCAACAAAGAUAUAAAUGUGAUGAACAGUAUCAAGCAAAAUUAAAAAACAGUAGUAUCGCAAGAUAUGCUAAUAAUGAACCGUUCAAAGAACAAGUAAAAAUCAGCAGUAUUGAAAAAUAUGCUAAUAAUGAACCGUUCAAAGAACAAGUAAAAAACUGCAGUAUUGAAAAAUAUGCCAAUAAUGAACCGUUCAAAGAACAAGUAAAAAAACUGCAGUAUUGAAAAAUAUGCUAAGAAUGAACUGUUCAAAGAACAAGUAAAAAACUGCAGUAUUGAAAAAUAUGCUAAGAAUGAACUGUUCAAAGAACAAGUAAAAAACUGCAGUAUUGAAAAAUAUGCUAAGAAUGAACUGUUCAAAGAACAAGUAAAAAACAGCAGUAUUGAAAAAUAUGCUAAUAAUGAACUGUUCAAAGAACAAGUUAAAAACAGCAGUAUUGAAAAAUAUGCUAAUAAUCCUGCCCGUCAUAACCAGGUGAAACAAAGAACUGUAAUCAAAUACAGAGAUGAUCCAUCAUGUAAACCCUCUUUAAUUGAAAGAAACUGUCAAAAGAGACUUAAUCUUACCCUCUUAAAACACAAUAUUGACUUUGUAAUUGAGCUCUUCCAAGAAGAGGUCAAACAUGGACCAGAACAUGUUUGUUGUGUAUGUCACAGAUUAUUGUUCCGUAAGCAAGUUAGAUUAUGUGACAUAACUUCAUAUGAAUCCAAGGCUUCAACUGUGUCAGCAAUUGCAAAACAAUGCAUAACUACAACAUAUCUCCAUCAAUGUGAUAACGCAUGUUUAACGCCAUGCACACUAAAACAGACAGUUGCUGGGAAAUUGUGGAUAUGUUUCAGUUGCAACUCCAAGAUACUCAGUGGUAAGGUUCCCCAGGAGAGCGCUGUGAACAAUAUGGCAUUAGAUCCAAUUCCGGACGAAUUAGGCACACUGAACUCAUUAGAACAACACCUGUGCGCAUUGAAUAUUCCCUUUAUGCGACUUGUGGCAUUGCCACGAGGUUCUCAGAAUUCUGUCCAUGGGCCGGUGACUUGCGUUCCAUCAAACAGCGAUGUAGUCACUUCGGUUCUCCCUAGGCUAGAAAAUCAAGAUUUAAUGAUCCGAAUAAAACUGAAAAGAAAACUUACUUAUAAGGGGCAUUAUCAGUAUCAAUAUGUGCACACUCAAAAAAUCCAAAAUGCGAUAGCAUGUUUAAAGGACAUGAAUAAAUGAUAUAAUGACAUAGACUUUAACCCAGAAUGGGAAAAUCCCUUGCCAG
RNAcentral lists this long non-coding RNA (1339 nucleotides) under Gadus morhua (Atlantic cod). Its description in RNAcentral is "lncRNA (ENSGMOG00000035519.1)". Lineage: Eukaryota; Metazoa; Chordata; Actinopteri; Gadiformes; Gadidae. The record is from RNAcentral.